GACGAGAGAGGAGAUAGAGAGAGAGAGGGCUCUGUCACUGAGAGAGAGAGAGAGAGAGAGAGAGGGCUUUAUCAUUGAGAGCAGAGAGACAAUAGGGAGUUAAUGAGGGGGAGUAGGGAGGAUCGAAAAAAAAUCUAAAUUGAAAUUUUUUGGAUGGUAAUUACCGUCACGAAGAUUUUUCUUUUUAUUUAAACCUAAGAAGAUGGCAAAAUCAUGCAGUUGUCCAAACUGUCAAAGUUCGUUUCACAAUAUUUUUAUAUUGUAAUCCAAAAAUAUUUCAAUUUUAGAUGCAUCCAACUGACCUUAAUUCAUUUCCCGAAUCGUUGGUUCGAAAAUCUUUCAUUACUUUGGUUAGGUUUUUUAAGAUUUAUCCAAAGCGACUAUC
Molecule: long non-coding RNA, 385 nt
Filed under: Amborella trichopoda
Lineage: Eukaryota; Viridiplantae; Streptophyta; Magnoliopsida; Amborellales; Amborellaceae
Description: long non-coding RNA (ATRI_LNC004371)
Source: RNAcentral